This 497-nucleotide ribosomal RNA is filed under the name uncultured bacterium. RNAcentral's name for it is "partial 16S ribosomal RNA". It matches the Rfam family "Bacterial small subunit ribosomal RNA", at positions 28 to 507 of the family's 1533-position model. The record is from RNAcentral.
GAUGAACGCUGGCGGCGUGCCUAAUACAUGCAAGUCGAGCGAACGGACGAGAAGCUUGCUUCUCUGAUGUUAGCGGCGGACGGGUGAGUAACACGUGGAUAACCUACCUAUAAGACUGGGAUAACUUCGGGAAACCGGAGCUAAUACCGGAUAAUAUUUUGAACCGCAUGGUUCAAAAGUGAAAGACGGUCUUUCUGUCACUUAUAGAUGGAUCCGCGCUGCAUUAGCUAGUUGGUAAGGUAACGGCUUACCAAGGCAACGAUGCAUAGCCGACCUGAGAGGGUGAUCGGCCACACUGGAACUGAGACACGGUCCAGACUCCUACGGGAGGCAGCAGUAGGGAAUCUUCCGCAAUGGGCGAAAACCUGACGGAGCAACGCCGCGUGAGUGAUGAAGGUCUUCGGAUCGUAAAACUCUGUUAUUAGGGAAGAACAUAUGUGUAAGUAACUGUGCACAUCUUGACGGUACCUAAUCAGAAAGCCACGGCUAACUACGUG